AGAACAUAGAAAAUUUCACUCAAGACAAGAGUUAACAAGAUGCUGGUUCUAAGCCUUCUGGGAGCAGCUUUCAGCUCCAUUUGCCUUGCAACCAGCAUGGCCCAGAAGGUAAUGCAAACUCAGACUUCAAUUUCUGUGAUGGAGACGAAGACUGUGACAAUGGACUGUGUGUAUGAAACCCGGGAAAGUUCUUACUACUUAUUCUGGUUCAAGCAAAUGGCAAGUGGGGAAAUGGUUUUCCUUAUUUGUCAGGAUUCUUACAACAAGGAAAAUGCAACAGAGGGUCGUUAUUCUCUGAACUUCCAGAAGUCAGAAAGCUCCAUUGGACUCAUCAUCAGAGCCACGCAGAUUGAGGACUCAGCAGUAUAUUUCUGUGCUAUGAGUGAGGGCACGGUGGCAGAGGCAUCUAAAAGAGCCCCACAAAAACCUCAACCAGAGACAAAGGUUCUGAGAAUAUACUCCACAGACAGGAAGAGGCAAGGGCUGUGGUAG
This is a non-coding RNA of Rattus rattus (black rat), 492 nucleotides long. The record is from the annotation of a RefSeq genome assembly. Lineage: Eukaryota; Metazoa; Chordata; Mammalia; Rodentia; Muridae.